RNAcentral lists this ribosomal RNA (728 nucleotides) under uncultured soil bacterium. Its description in RNAcentral is "bacterial SSU rRNA". It matches the Rfam family "Bacterial small subunit ribosomal RNA", at positions 67 to 786 of the family's 1533-position model. The record is from RNAcentral.
CGGCAGCACGGGAGCUUGCUCCUGGUGGCGAGUGGCGAACGGGUGAGUAAUGUAUCGGAACGUACCCAGUCGUGGGGGAUAACUCUCCGAAAGGAGAGCUAAUACCGCAUACGUCCUGAGGGGGAAAGCGGGGGACCUGCAAAGGCCUCGCGCGAUUGGAGCGGCCGAUAUCGGAUUAGCUAGUUGGCGGGGUAAAGGCCCACCAAGGCGACGAUCCGUAGCGGGUCUGAGAGGACGACCCGCCACACUGGAACUGAGACACGGUCCAGACUCCUACGGGAGGCAGCAGUGGGGAAUUUUGGACAAUGGGGGCAACCCUGAUCCAGCCAUUCCGCGUGAGUGAAGAAGGCCUUCGGGUUGUAAAGCUCUUUCAGCAGGAGCGAAACGGUCGUUUUUAAUACAGACGGCUAAUGACGGUACCUGCAGAAGAAGCACCGGCUAACUACGUGCCAGCAGCCGCGGUAAUACGUAGGGUGCGAGCGUUAAUCGGAAUUACUGGGCGUAAAGCGUGCGCAGGCGGCGGCAUAAGACAGAUGUGAAAUCCCCGGGCUCAACCUGGGAACUGCGUUUGUGACUGUGUUGCUAGAGUGUAGCAGAGGGGGGUGGAAUUCCACGUGUAGCAGUGAAAUGCGUAGAUAUGUGGAGGAACACCGAUGGCGAAGGCAGCCCCCUGGGUUAACACUGACGCUCAUGCACGAAAGCGUGGGGAGCAAACAGGAUUAGAUACC